CCUUCGAUAGCUCAGUUGGUAGAGCGGUGGACUGUAGAGGAGCCGAUGCUGUCAUCCAUAGGUCGCUGGUUCAAAUCCGGCUCGAAGGA
Papilio xuthus (Asian swallowtail) is the source of this 89-nucleotide non-coding RNA. NCBI's taxonomy places the organism in Eukaryota, Metazoa, Arthropoda, Insecta, Lepidoptera, Papilionidae. The record is from Rfam.